Long non-coding RNA from Glycine soja, 478 nucleotides. RefSeq lists it as uncharacterized. The record is from RefSeq and is a predicted model, not a curated record. The transcript is spliced from 2 exons. NCBI's taxonomy places the organism in Eukaryota, Viridiplantae, Streptophyta, Magnoliopsida, Fabales, Fabaceae.
UGGAAUAUUCUCCCAUCAUUGAUAACACCCUAGGUUUUCCCACAUAUACUUAUGCGGUAUAUAUAUUAGUAAUACUUAUGUAUGUAUGUAUUAUAAUGGAUGGAAAUGGAGUACAUUAGAUCUAUGAAGCAAACUAGCCGUCUUAUUCCAUGAACAAAUAAGUAAGGAAUGCCGGUGAUAGGGAAGCAGCAGAGGAACAAGAAAUAGCAACCACAGAACCAAAGACGGGUGCAAAUAGAAGGAAGAUCCAAAAGAACAAUCACAAAGCCUUCUUACCUCAAUCAGUACGUCUGUUAAUAAGGGAUUAGUAUAAAUAGAAUAAGAAUUGAGCUAUUACCUUCCCUUUCUUUGUUUCUGGAGGCACUGCCCUCGAAGCUAUCUUCUUAUCUGUGUUCCUAUCAGCCGGUAACAUUUUUUUAAAUGUAAUUUUUAUUAAAUAACAAACGAGAUUCAUUGGAUAAAGAAUGAAAAUUACGUU